AGCUUCUUCACUUGUUUGCUUAAUCUCUCUUUUGCUAUUUCACCACAUCUAUAUACUCAUGGCAUUUCAAAAAGAAAACAUGGAAGUUGAAAUCAUAUCCACAAAAUUCAUAAAACCAUCUUCACCAACUCCAAAUCAUCUCCAAAAUUACAAGUUAGGUUUCUUUGAUCAAACAACUGAUGAGACACAUUUACCUCUUGUUUUUUUUUAUCCUCCUACCAACAACAUUAAUUUUUCAGCUCAUGAAGAACAACUUGAGCAAUCCUUAUCUAGGAUUUUAACUCAUGUUUACCCUAUUUCUGGCAGAUUUACCGAGGAUAACUCGAUAUCCUGCCAGGACCAAGGGGUUAAAUUUAUAAAAGCAAAAGUGAAUAGUAAACUCAAUAAAUUUCUUGAGAAAGCACACAAGGAUGUCAACCUUUCAUUGCUUUGUUGGCCUCAAGAUUCAUGGAAUGUAGAUGCAUCCAACUUAUUCGCCAUGCCAGUUGUCAUUAUCCAAAUUACAGAAUUCGAGUGUGGUGGCUUGGCUCUAUCCAUGAGCCACGCGCACAUUGCAAUGGAUGGUUACUCAACUUUUACUGUUAUCAACGAGUGGUCCAAAGUGUGUAGACUUGAGAUUCCUGUAGAGAAGAUUGAUUUCAUGAGCUUUAAUUUGGUUGAUGUUUUCCCAUCGAGAGAUUUAUCGAAGCUUCUCUUGCCUCGUGUUCCUCUAGAAGAUCGUGUGGAAUCUAAAUUAGUAGCCAAAAGACUAUACAUCAACGAAGAUUCCAUUUCAAGGCUAAGAAAAGAAGUCGGUGGAGACUUAUGCUUUAAGCCAUCAAGAGUUGAAAUGAUCAUGGCCCUCCUAUGGAGGGCUUUAAUCCGUGCUUCAGAAAAGAAGCACGGAUAUCUAAGACGUUCUCUAAUGAACAUCCCAAUAAACUUGCGCACUAGGUUAAUUUCUUUACCUCAAGUAGAAAAAUCUUUUGGAAAUCUUGGAGUUGACGCCCCUUUAAAAUUCAUACCUGGGGAGAACAAGAUGGAGUUGCACGAAUUCGUGACAUUAAUUCAUGACACUGUGAAGGAUACUGUUAUUACUUGUGACAAGACUUCACCGGAGGACAUAGUGUCCGCGGUGUCAAAGAUAUAUAAUGAAAGUUUCCUAGCACAAGAUUGGGGAGGAAGUGAUGAAGUUGAUAGGUACACAAGUUCAAGUUUGUGUAAAUUUCCUAUACAAGAAGCUGAUUUUGGUUGGGGAAAACCAUGUUUGAUGCAUUUUGGGGUCAAGACAUGAUCAGGUUUGCUGGUUGUAUGAUGCAGAAUGUGGCAAUGGGAUUUGUGUGCAAGUGGAUUUGAAGGAAGACUAUAUGCAUCUAUUUGAAUGUGACAAUGAUAUCAAGGAUUUCUUUCAGUUUUAGAGUUUAGGUCUCUAAGAUUUGGCAAUUUUUAUUUACUUUAUUGUUGUUGUCGUCGUCGUCAUUUUGGAUUUGGUAAUAUAAUAAAGUUGCAUUUGUUAUCUUGUUACAACUUAA
This is an RNA transcript of Solanum tuberosum (potato), 1511 nucleotides long. It is a transcript of the gene named pelargonidin 3-O-(6-caffeoylglucoside) 5-O-(6-O-malonylglucoside) 4'''-malonyltransferase-like, with no coding region annotated. The record is from RefSeq and is a predicted model, not a curated record. NCBI's taxonomy places the organism in Eukaryota, Viridiplantae, Streptophyta, Magnoliopsida, Solanales, Solanaceae. The transcript has a single exon.